Molecule: ribosomal RNA, 253 nt
Filed under: uncultured bacterium
Lineage: Bacteria
Description: partial 16S ribosomal RNA
Rfam family: Bacterial small subunit ribosomal RNA
Source: RNAcentral
UACGGAGGGUGCAAACGUUGCUCGGAAUCAUUGGGCGUAAAGCGCGUGCAGGCGGCUUGUUAAGUCAAGUGUGAAAGCCCUGGGCUUAACCCAGGAAGUGCGCUUGAUACUGACAGGCUAGAGUACGGGAGAGGGUAGCGGAAUUCCCGGUGUAGAGGUGAAAUUCGUAGAUAUCGGGAGGAACACCAGUGGCGAAGGCGGCUAUCUGGACCGAUACUGACGCUGAGACGCGAAAGCGUGGGGAGCAAACAGG